RNAcentral lists this unclassified non-coding RNA (236 nucleotides) under Melitaea cinxia (Glanville fritillary). RNAcentral describes it as "misc RNA ENSMCXG00005000352.1". Lineage: Eukaryota; Metazoa; Arthropoda; Insecta; Lepidoptera; Nymphalidae. The record is from RNAcentral.
AGGUUGAUAAGGAACUUGUCGCCAUAUAGACGCUUAGAUAACCUCUGACCGGAACAUUGGAAGUGUGUGCACCUGUCCAUUUAGGCCUGAUAUGGAUAACGAUAUGUGCAUGCAGUGAUUUCUUGUUGGCUAUAACCAUAUGUAGGGAAGCUCGUCGUUUUGAUACUAGCCGUGCAGUUUAACUUUUCAUAUAGUUUGUUUUGGUAUUGUAAUUAAUAAAAAAAUAUAGAUGUCUA